This 492-nucleotide ribosomal RNA is filed under the name uncultured bacterium. RNAcentral's name for it is "partial 16S ribosomal RNA". It matches the Rfam family "Bacterial small subunit ribosomal RNA", at positions 29 to 507 of the family's 1533-position model. The record is from RNAcentral.
AGUGAACGCUGGCGGUAGGCCUAACACAUGCAAGUCGAACGGCAGCACAGUAAGAGCUUGCUCUUACGGGUGGCGAGUGGCGGACGGGUGCGGAAUACAUCCGAAUCUACUUUUUCGUGGGGGAUAACGUAGGGAAACUUACGCUAAUACCGCAUACUACCUACGGGUGAAAGCAGGGGAUCUUCGGACCUUGCGCGAUUGAAUGAGCCGAUGUCGGAGUAGCUAGUUGGCGGGGUAAAGGCCCACCAAGGCGCCGAUCCGUAGCUGGGCUGAGAGGAUGAGCAGCCACACGAGAACUGAGACACGGCCCAGACUCCUACGGGAGGCAGCAGUGGGGAAUUUGGGACAAAGGGCGAAAGCCUGAUCCAGCAAUGCCGCGUGCAGGAUGAAGGCCUUCGGGUUGUAAAACGCUUUUGUACGGAACGAAAAGGAUCUGGCUAAUACCUGGGGCACAUGACGGUACCGGAAGAAUAAGCACCGGCUAACUACGUG